AUGCUGAAGCACAUUGGCAUUGAGCCAAGGCAGAUUGUAUACAUGCACAAGCUAAAUAUCGGUUGCAAGAGGUUGGAUGAAGAUGCAACACAUUCAUGUAAUUAUGUUGCUCCUGCACUGUGUUUAUGCACAUUUUUUAGUAUGAAUCACUACACGCUGGAGAAGUUCCUGGAGGCGAUCAGGAGCAGAGGCAUCAAGAUAUGCCCUGGGUGCAAUGCCUCGCAGGCUGUAGCACCUGCCCAGUUAUGCAUAUGUCGGCAAGACAAGUUUUGCCUGCUCUGCUUCAUAUCAGUCUCUUCUCAUCGCGGCCAGAGCUUGGAAGCAAUUCAACUAGGCACCAUGACGCUGGAUGGAAGUUCUUAUAUAUGGUCUCUAGAAACACUCGCACGCAGACUCUCUGCCCUCGUUCGCCCGCCGCCGCCCUUCGUCCCUUCGCCACCGCCGCUCCAUGCCUUCGCCGCUGCCCUCGCCCAUCACUCAGUUUGUUAUAUGGACAUGUCGUUAAUCUUUUAUUUUUGUCAAUUUACAUUGCAAAAAUGGACUUCAAUUAUUCAAUAA
Molecule: ribosomal RNA, 558 nt
Filed under: Triticum aestivum (bread wheat)
Lineage: Eukaryota; Viridiplantae; Streptophyta; Magnoliopsida; Poales; Poaceae
Description: partial small subunit ribosomal RNA
Source: RNAcentral